Molecule: ribosomal RNA, 395 nt
Filed under: uncultured bacterium
Lineage: Bacteria
Description: partial 16S ribosomal RNA
Rfam family: Bacterial small subunit ribosomal RNA
Source: RNAcentral
AUACGUAGGGGGCGAGCGUUGUCCGGAAUGAUUGGGCGUAAAGGGCGCGUAGGCGGCGCGGUAAGUCAGGAGUGAAAGUCCUGCUUUCAAGGUGGGAAUUGCUUUGGAUACUGCCGCGCUUGAGUGCAGGAGAGGUUAUCGGAAUUCCCGGUGUAGCGGUGAAAUGCGUAGAGAUUGGGAGGAACACCAGUGGCGAAGGCGACUUACUGGGCCGUAACUGACGCUGAGGCGCGAAAGCGUGGGGAGCGAACAGGAUUAGAUACCCUGGUAGUCCACGCUGUAAACGAUGAAUACUAGGUGUGGGGGGACUGACCCCCUCCGUGCCGCAGUCAACACAAUAAGCAUUCCGCCUGGGGAGUACGGCCGCAGGGUUGAAACUCAAAGGAAUUGACGGG